GGUAGAAAUGCAUGUUAGGACAUAUGUUGAGUUUAUGGGGUUUUGAUGAUGUUUGAGCAAUGUAGCUGGAUUGUGUGUGAAUGAAGUGUUGUAGAUGGGGUAUAUGCAUGUUUGAGACCCCUAGGAACUUGUAUGUGUGUUUUGGUUGAGAAAUAUGCAUGAUCUAUGGUUUUGGGAGGCAGGAGGUUCAUUUGAACCAAGUUUCUGCCGUUUGGCAGAAACCAGGUUCGGCAGCCGAAGGGAGUUUCGGCCGCCGAACCCCUCUUGUGAAGGCAGCUUUCGGCUGCCGAAGGUGCCCCCGAAAAGAGACUUUCGUCUCUGUCUGGCACUUUCGGCCGCCGAAGGUGCCGCCGAACCUAGCUGAGUUUCGUCUCUGUCCAGGACUUUCGGCCGCCGAAGGUGCCGCCGAAGGUGCCCUGUUCAGCCGUUUCAUGCAUAUUUUCUGUGAUGUUUUCAUGAUGUUUUAGGGGGUUUUUGGGGGAUGUAUUAGAAUUGUGUUUAUAUAUGUUUGGUCCCUCAUUGGAGUCCACCUGUGUAGGUUCGGACCCGAGGAACCGAGGACCCCAGCAGUGAGAGAGCUGCUUCAGUGUCUGGUCAGAGCUAACCAGAGGUGAGUGGAAACAAGCUUAAUGUUUUAAAUCAAGCAAUUAAAUGUUUUGAGCAUGUUUCAUGCAUCAUGAUGACAUGUAAUAGGCUGAUUGCAUUAGUUCACGAAUAUGUCGCAUUGCAUUUUAUUUUGUGGUUGUGGGUGAAAGCUGUAUGAUCCAAUUAGUCCACGAGACUUUAUGUAUGUUAUGACAGGAAGACCAGGACCCCAUGCUACGGCCUGGCACGAGGCUUUAUAUAUGAUAUGACAGGAAGACCAGGACCCCAUGCUACGGCCUGGCACGAGGCUUUAUAUAUGAUAUGACAGGAAGACCAGGACCCCAUGCUACGGCCNNNN
Molecule: long non-coding RNA, 943 nt
Filed under: Manihot esculenta (cassava)
Lineage: Eukaryota; Viridiplantae; Streptophyta; Magnoliopsida; Malpighiales; Euphorbiaceae
Description: long non-coding RNA (MESC_LNC008079)
Source: RNAcentral